Molecule: ribosomal RNA, 439 nt
Filed under: uncultured bacterium
Lineage: Bacteria
Description: partial 16S ribosomal RNA
Rfam family: Bacterial small subunit ribosomal RNA
Source: RNAcentral
CUACGGGGGGCAGCAGUGAGGAAUAUUGCACAAUGGGGGGAACCCUGAUGCAGCAACGCCGCGUGGAGGAUGACGCAUUUCGGUGUGUAAACUCCUUUUAUAUGUCAAGAAAAUGACGGUAGCAUAUGAAUAAGCGCCGGCUAACUCCGUGCCAGCAGCCGCGGUAAUACGGAGGGCGCAAGCGUUACUCGGAAUCACUGGGCGUAAAGGACGCGUAGGCGGGUUGAAAAGUCAGGUGUGAAAGCCUACAGCUUAACUGUAGAACUGCACUUGAAACUCUCAAUCUAGAGUAUGGGAGGGGCAGAUGGAAUUAGUGGUGUAGGGGUAAAAUCCGUAGAUAUCACUAGGAAUACCUAAAGCGAAGGCGAUCUGCUGGAACAUUACUGACGCUAAGGCGUGAAAGCGUGGGGAGCAAACAGGAUUAGAUACCCUUGUAGUC